Molecule: long non-coding RNA, 669 nt
Organism: Clupea harengus (Atlantic herring)
Lineage: Eukaryota; Metazoa; Chordata; Actinopteri; Clupeiformes; Clupeidae
Source: Ensembl
GUUGUUUUGAUCCCUCACUCUGCAGUGAAAACGACAGAUAUAAAAACUGUUUGCUCACUUUAAAAAAAUAAAGCAUUUGCUAUUUCUGCCCCUUUUUCUGCCGGUGUUGUUUAGGUGCUGUGGUGCAGCCUCAGGAAGUCGAGGACAAGCCCGAGCUCACCACCUAUGAGGAGUUCCUACGGGAGGCGCGCGCCAUAGACCAGCAGCAGCGUCUGCUUAAUCAGCGCUGCGCUUCACUGACCACCUACACCCUCAGAGGGACUCCUCCAGAGUACACCAGCUACAGGCAGAGCUUCCUCAGCCUCCAGCAGGACGACAACAAGCCCAUUCUCGAAGCUCCCUAACCCCGAAAAAAAACACAGGCAUCUGAACUUUGUGACGGAGUAUGCGGAUAAGUUUGGAUUCCUGCAGCGGGUGUUUCCUCCGAGUACCUGCAAAAACUUCACCCCUGCCAAGGUGACACGUCCAUGGGUAGCCAUCCAACACACGGCAGCACCACGAAGGACCAUGUGCUCUGAAUACAUGUCUAGCUACUGCCACCCACGCGCCAUGUCCAGGCCAAAGACAUGCUGAAUCAUGAGACGCUUCACCUAGAUGCUGAUGGACCUUUUUCACAACCAUCACCACUGCCAUCAUCUUCAGAACAGACAAGACUAUUUUAAGUUUCAG